UACGUAGGUGGCAAGCGUUGUCCGGAAUUACUGGGCGUAAAGGGUCCGUAGGUGGUUCGGUAAGUCUCUUGCGAAAACCUCAGGCUCAACUUGGGGACGCCGAGGGAUACUGCCGGACUUGAGACUGUCAGAGGCGAACGGAAUUCCCGGUGUAGUGGUGAAAUGCGUAGAUAUCGGGAGGAACUCCAGUGGCGAAAGCGGUUCGCUGGGACAGUUCUGACACUGAGGGACGAAAGCGUGGGGAGCGAACAGG
Molecule: unclassified non-coding RNA, 253 nt
Filed under: uncultured Dehalococcoidia bacterium
Lineage: Bacteria; Bacillati; Chloroflexota; Dehalococcoidia
Description: contains 16S-23S intergenic spacer region
Rfam family: Bacterial small subunit ribosomal RNA
Source: RNAcentral